This 585-nucleotide ribosomal RNA is filed under the name uncultured bacterium. RNAcentral's name for it is "bacterial SSU rRNA". It matches the Rfam family "Bacterial small subunit ribosomal RNA", at positions 338 to 916 of the family's 1533-position model. The record is from RNAcentral.
CCUACGGGAGGCAGCAGUGGGGAAUAUUGGACAAUGGGCGAAAGCCUGAUCCAGCCAUGCCGCGUGUGUGAAGAAGGUCUUCGGAUUGUAAAGCACUUUAAGUUGGGAGGAAGGGUUGUAGAUUAAUACUCUGCAAUUUUGACGUUACCGACAGAAUAAGCACCGGCUAACUCUGUGCCAGCAGCCGCGGUAAUACAGAGGGUGCAAGCGUUAAUCGGAAUUACUGGGCGUAAAGCGCGCGUAGGUGGUUUGUUAAGUUGGAUGUGAAAGCCCCGGGCUCAACCUGGGAACUGCAUCCAAAACUGGCAAGCUAGAGUACGGUAGAGGGUGGUGGAAUUUCCUGUGUAGCGGUGAAAUGCGUAGAUAUAGGAAGGAACACCAGUGGCGAAGGCGACCACCUGGACUGAUACUGACACUGAGGUGCGAAAGCGUGGGGAGCAAACAGGAUUAGAUACCCUGGUAGUCCACGCCGUAAACGAUGUCAACUAGCCGUUGGAAUCCUUGAGAUUUUAGUGGCGCAGCUAACGCAUUAAGUUGACCGCCUGGGGAGUACGGCCGCAGGUUAAAACUCAAAUGAAUUGACGG